UGAAUACGAGACGCUAAGGCGUCGAAGUAGUGUAUGUCAUACUUCCAAGAAAAGCUUGCACUGUCAUAGAUAAAAAACGUCUGUACCAUAACCGACACAGGUGGGUAGGUAGAGUAUACUAAGGGGCGCGAGAUAACUCUCUCUAAGGAACUCGGCAAAAUAACUCCGUAACUUCGGGAGAAGGAGUGCCUUAUUCGUAAGGUUGCAAUAACAAGAUCCAAGCAACUGUUUAUCAAAAACACAGGUCUCCGCUAAGUCGUAAGACGAUGUAUGGGGGCUGACGCCUGCCCAGUGCCAGAAGGUUAAAGAAGUUGGUUAGCAAUUGCGAAGCUGAUAACUGAAGCCCUGGUGAACGGCGGCCGUAACAAUAACGGUCCUAAGGUAGCGAAAUUCCUUGUCGGGUAAGUUCCGACCCGCACGAAAGGCGUAAUGAUUUGGAUACUGUCUCGGAGAGGGGCUCGGUGAAAUAGACUUGUCUGUGAAGAUGCGGACUACCUGCACCAGGACAGAAAGACCCUAUGAAGCUUUACUGUAACUUGAAAUUGAAAUUGGACUUUAUUCGCGCAGUAUAGGUGGGAGGCGUUGAUUAUAAUCUUGUGGGAUUAUUGGAGCCAUCAGUGAGAUACCACUCUUGUAAUGUUAGAUUUCUAACUUUGAAUCAUUAUCUGGUCAAAGAACAGUUUCAGGCGGGCAGUUUGACUGGGGCGGUCGCCUCCUAAACGGUAACGGAGGCGUACAGAGGUUUCCUCUGAACGGUUAGAAAUCGUAUCUAGAGUGUAAAGGCAUAAGGAAGCUUGACUGUGAGACCUACAAGUCGAGCAGGGACGAAAGUCGGUCUUAGUGAUCUGACGGUACUGAGUGGAAAGGCCGUCACUCAACGGAUAAAAGUUACCCUAAGGAUAACAGGCUGAUCUCCCCCAAGAGUUCACAUCGACGGGGAGGUUUGGCACCUCGAUGUCGGCUCAUCGCAUCCUGGGGCGGUAGUACGUCCCAAGGGUUGGGCUGUUCGCCCAUGAAAGCGGUACGCGAGCUGGGUUCAGAACGUCGUGGGACAGUUCGGUCCAUAUCCGGUGUAGGCGUUAGAAUAUUGAGAGGAGCCUUCUUUAGUACGAGAGGACCGAGAAGGACAUACCUCUGGUGUACCAGUUAUCGUGCCAACGGUAAACGCUGGGUAGCUAUGUAUGGAGUGGAUAACCGCUGAAAGCAUCUAAGUGGGAAGCCCACCUCAAGAUAAGUAUUCCC
This 1242-nucleotide ribosomal RNA is filed under the name metagenome. Its description in RNAcentral is "bacterial LSU rRNA". It matches the Rfam family "Bacterial large subunit ribosomal RNA", at positions 1564 to 2815 of the family's 2925-position model. The record is from RNAcentral.